GACGAACCGUGCGAACGUUGUUCGGAAUCACUGGGCUUAAAGGGCGCGUAGGCGGGUGGUCAAGUCGGUGGGUGAAAUCCCCCAGCUCAACUGGGGAACUGCCUUCGAUACUGACUGUCUCGAGGAAGGUAGGGGCACGUGGAACUGGUGGUGGAGCGGUGAAAUGCGUAGAGAUCACUAGGAACGCCGGUGGCGAAAGCGACGUGCUGGACCUUUUCUGACGCUGAGGCGAGAAAGCCAGGGGAGCGAACGGG
RNAcentral lists this ribosomal RNA (254 nucleotides) under uncultured bacterium. RNAcentral describes it as "partial 16S ribosomal RNA". It matches the Rfam family "Bacterial small subunit ribosomal RNA", at positions 524 to 776 of the family's 1533-position model. The record is from RNAcentral.